UCUCUCCCACAAGCACUUGUUACAUCACUCUGAAAGGAAUCUACUAGCCAAAGGAAUAAAAAAGGAGGUGGUGAUGGGUUCCCCCAUCCAAGAUGCCACCUGAUGUGUGGGGUCUCACUGAGCCCACCCAAUCCACCAGCCUGAACUUCCUCACCCUGUUGAUGCUGUGCCAGGCCCUGAAGCCUUCACUCACACACACAGAGGCUGAGAAUGCUGUGAAUACAGAAAUAAGCAUGUAAAUGAAAUAGUAGGUGACAUGACGAGAAGAACAACACAUGCUGCAAUGGCAGUUUGUAGAGAAUGAUAACGAAGUAAAGAAGUUGUAUGGGAAAGAUAAGAGAGAAUGGCUUGACAAAAAAAAAUGCAAGAGAAGCCAAAGAAACAUCAGUGAGAAGUGACUCAAAGAAAUUAUUCCAGGUGUGUAAGCAAUUAUCACAAUUUCAGAGUCACAGUGGUAUCAUAAAAGCGGAAGAUGGAAGAUUCUUAACAACGGAAGCAGAACAAAAGGAAUUAUGGUGAGACUGUUUUAAUGAAGUGCUCAGUCAACCUGAGCCAACAAUCGCAAUCAAUGGAUGUGAAGAAGGUGAUAAAGAAAGCAGAAAUAGAGGAAGUCAUUAAGCUGCUAAAAUAGCAAAGCACGUGGUCAAGAUAAGAUCACUGCUAAAACGCUUGAAG
Long non-coding RNA from Mauremys reevesii (Reeves's turtle), 675 nucleotides. RefSeq lists it as uncharacterized. The transcript has 3 exons. Lineage: Eukaryota; Metazoa; Chordata; Testudines; Geoemydidae. The record is from RefSeq and is a predicted model, not a curated record.